This 490-nucleotide ribosomal RNA is filed under the name uncultured bacterium. RNAcentral's name for it is "partial 16S ribosomal RNA". It matches the Rfam family "Bacterial small subunit ribosomal RNA", at positions 30 to 507 of the family's 1533-position model. The record is from RNAcentral.
AUUGAACGCUGGCGGCAGGCCUAACACAUGCAAGUCGAACGGUAACAGGAAGAAGCUUGCUUCUUUGCUGACGAGUGGCGGACGGGUGAGUAAUGUCUGGGAAACUGCCUGAUGGAGGGGGAUAACUACUGGAAACGGUAGCUAAUACCGCAUAACGUCGCAAGACCAAAGAGGGGGACCUUCGGGCCUCAUGCCAUCGGAUGUGCCCAGAUGGGAUUAGCUAGUAGGUGGGGUAACGGCUCACCUAGGCGACGAUCCCUAGCUGGUCUGAGAGGAUGACCAGCCACACUGGAACUGAGACACGGUCCAGACUCCUACGGGAGGCAGCAGUGGGGAAUAUUGCACAAUGGGCGCAAGCCUGAUGCAGCCAUGCCGCGUGUAUGAAGAAGGCCUUCGGGUUGUAAAGUACUUUCAGCGGGGAGGAAGGGAGUAAAGUUAAUACCUUUGCUCAUUGACGUUACCCGCAGAAGAAGCACCGGCUAACUCCGUG